This 73-nucleotide small nuclear RNA is filed under the name Echinops telfairi (small Madagascar hedgehog). The record is from RNAcentral. Lineage: Eukaryota; Metazoa; Chordata; Mammalia; Afrosoricida; Tenrecidae.
NNUGAUACAGAGAAGAUUAGCAUGGCCCCUGCGCAAGGAUGACAUACAAAUUCGUGAAGCGUUCUGUAAAAAA